CACGUGGGCUGUUAUGUAAGUCAGGGGUGAAAUCCCACGGCUCAACCGUGGAACUGCCCUUGAUACUGCACGACUUGAAUCCGGGAGAGGGUGGCGGAAUUCCAGGUGUAGGAGUGAAAUCCGUAGAUAUCUGGAGGAACAUCAGUGGCGAAGGCGGCCACCUGGACCGGUAUUGACGCUGAGGUGCGAAAGCGUGGGGAGCAAACA
Molecule: ribosomal RNA, 207 nt
Filed under: uncultured bacterium
Lineage: Bacteria
Description: partial 16S ribosomal RNA
Rfam family: Bacterial small subunit ribosomal RNA
Source: RNAcentral